GACGAACGCUGGCGGCGUGCUUAACACAUGCAAGUCGAGCGGUAAGGCCCUUUCGGGGGUACACGAGCGGCGAACGGGUGAGUAACACGUGGGUGACCUGCCCUCAGCUCUGGGAUAAGCCUGGGAAACCGGGUCGUAAUACUGGAUAUGACUCCAUGACGCAUAGUUGUGGGGUGGAAAGCCUUGUGCGGCUGAGGAUGGGCCCGCGGCCUAUCAGCUUGUUGGUGGGGUGAUGGCCUACCAAGGCGACGACGGGUAGCCGGCCUGAGA
RNAcentral lists this ribosomal RNA (270 nucleotides) under uncultured bacterium. RNAcentral's name for it is "partial 16S ribosomal RNA". It matches the Rfam family "Bacterial small subunit ribosomal RNA", at positions 28 to 297 of the family's 1533-position model. The record is from RNAcentral.